AUACAGGUGGUGCAUGGUUGUCGUCAGCUCGUGUCGUGAGAUGUUGGGUUAAGUCCCGCAACGAGCGCAACCCUCGUUCUAUGUUGCCAGCACGUGAUGGUGGGGACUCAUAGGAGACUGCCGGGGUCAACUCGGAGGAAGGUGGGGAUGAGGUCAAAUCAUCAUGCCCCUUAUGUCUUGGGCUUCACACAUGCUACAAUGGCCGGUACAAAGGGCUGCGAUACCGCGAGGUGGAGCGAAUCCCAAAAAACCGGUCUCAGUUCGGAUUGGGGUCUGCAACUCGACCCCAUGAAGUUGGAGUCGCUAGUAAUCGCAGAUCAGCAACGCUGCGGUGAAUACGUUCCCGGGCCUUGUACACACCGCCCGUCAAGUCACGAAAGUCGGUAACACCCGAAGCCGGUGGCCCAACCCUUGUGGAGGGAGCCGUCGAAGGUGGACUGGCGAUUGGAC
Molecule: ribosomal RNA, 450 nt
Filed under: Microbacterium hatanonis
Lineage: Bacteria; Bacillati; Actinomycetota; Actinomycetes; Micrococcales; Microbacteriaceae
Description: bacterial SSU rRNA
Rfam family: Bacterial small subunit ribosomal RNA
Source: RNAcentral